RNAcentral lists this ribosomal RNA (253 nucleotides) under uncultured bacterium. RNAcentral describes it as "partial 16S ribosomal RNA". It matches the Rfam family "Bacterial small subunit ribosomal RNA", at positions 524 to 776 of the family's 1533-position model. The record is from RNAcentral.
UACGUAGGAUGCAAGCGUUGUCCGGAUUUAUUGGGUUUAAAGGGUGCGUAGGCGGCCUAUUAAGUUAGUGGUGAAAACGUUCGGCUUAACCGGAUACCCGCCAUUGAUACUGAUGGACUUGAGUGCGACAGAGGGUGUUGGAAUGUGUGGUGUAGCGGUGAAAUGCUUAGAUAUCACGCAGAACACCAAUUGCGAAGGCAGAUGCCUAUGUCGUAACUGACGCUGAGGCGCGAAAGCGUCGGGAGCAAACAGG